Long non-coding RNA from Mauremys mutica (yellowpond turtle), 446 nucleotides. RefSeq lists it as uncharacterized. The transcript has 3 exons. NCBI's taxonomy places the organism in Eukaryota, Metazoa, Chordata, Testudines, Geoemydidae. The record is from RefSeq and is a predicted model, not a curated record.
CUGGGUAGCUCAAAGGAAUGUGCUGACACUAUUUCCUCUGGGGAACGCCCCUCCGCUGACAUUCAAGCCCAAGCUUUGUAAACCUGUGCGGAUUGUAAAGAUUUAGUAACUCGUGUUGUUGCCGAGGGCGUGACAAGUGACUUCCAACACCUCGAUACUGCGCUGUACCUGCCCUUUUGAGCGGCCCUUGAUGAGCCAGUCAUCCAGACAGGGAUAGAUCUGGACCCCCAACAUCUGAAGUGCAGUGCAGGAAGGAGGAAGGAUUCAGAGUCUAUCAAGAACAAGAACUGCAAGACAACUCGUCCAAAUCUGGCAUCUUCCCUUGAUGCUUGCACUUAGGAUGGAAGAAUCCCAUUCACUGUUACAGACUAUGGACCGAAUGGGUAGGAAGCAGUUCUGCAGAAAAGGACCUAGGGGUUACGGUGGACGAGAAGCUGGAUAGGAGU